Podarcis lilfordi (Lilford's wall lizard) is the source of this 1172-nucleotide non-coding RNA. The record is from the annotation of a GenBank genome assembly. Lineage: Eukaryota; Metazoa; Chordata; Lepidosauria; Squamata; Lacertidae.
UUCAAACUGUCAUGGGGGCCUGAGGUUCCUCAGAAGAGUCUCAGCAAUGUUUCAGUAUGAAACAAAAACAAUGGGAUACUGUGGUUCCUCGAAGACUAACACUUUUAUUACGGCAUGAGGUUUUAUGGAAUACAGUCCCCUUCAACAGAUGCUUUAAGAAUUAUACUGAGUUACAGGUAUACAGGUAGAGAGAGAGAGAGAGAGAGAGAGAGAGAGAGAGAGAGGUACCUCGGGUUAAGUACUUAAUUCGUUCCAGAGGUCCGUUCUUAGCCUGAAACUGUUCUUAACCUGAAGCACCAUUUUAGCUAAUGGGGCCUCCCGCUGCCGCCGCGCCGCCAGAGCACAAUUUCUGUUCUCAUCCUGAAGCAAAGUUCUUAACCCGAGGUAAUAUUUCUGGGUUAGCAGAGUCUGUAACCUGAAGCGUAUGUAACCUGAGGUACCACUGUAUAUAUAUAUUCUCCAGUGUGUGUGUUUGUGUGUUUGCUGUGGUCUAAAGCACAGAGCCUAGGGCUUGCCAAUCAGAAGGUUGGCGGUUCGAAUCCCCGCAACGGGGUGAGCUCCCAUUGUUCGGUCCCAGCUCCUGCCCACCCAGCAGUUCGAAAGCACGUCAAAGUGCAAAUAGAUAAACAGGUACCGCUCCAGCAGGAAGGUAAACGGCGUUUCCGUGCACUGCUCUGGUUUUGCCAGAAGCGGCUUAGUCAUGCUGGCCACAUGACCCAGAAAAACUGUCUGCGGACGAACGCCGGCUCCCUUGGCCAGUAAAGCGAGAUGAGCGCACAACCCCAGAGUCGCCUGCGACUGGACCUAAUGGUCAGGGGUACCUUGACCUUUUAAGGUACCAUAAGACUUUGUUGUCCUUGCUGAAUUCGACUACCCUUAUAAAUGUUGUCUUAAUGAGAAGAUCAGUAAUUCUGGAUAAGCUGUCUACAGCCUCCUGAUCUGCUACAAUCCUCCAUCACAGGUGAAGACCGAAUCCAGAAGAGAAGAGAGUGAAUCCCAAAAGGUCCCAGGGUUCCUUGGCAGACAGUUCAACAAAGAAAAAUAUUCCCUGAGGGCGGAAUGUUAGAAAACCACUGCUUUACACGCUGAAGAGCACCACUAGUGGGUGGAAUGAAGUCAGAACAGCUGAACUGUGGUUUGUGGUCAUCCGAGCCUGAUUCAAUGCAAGCCUG